RNAcentral lists this ribosomal RNA (495 nucleotides) under uncultured bacterium. Its description in RNAcentral is "partial 16S ribosomal RNA". It matches the Rfam family "Bacterial small subunit ribosomal RNA", at positions 28 to 507 of the family's 1533-position model. The record is from RNAcentral.
GAUGAACGCUGGCGGCGUGCCUAAUACAUGCAAGUAGAACGCUGAAGGAGGAGCUUGCUCUUCUGGAUGAGUUGCGAACGGGUGAGUAACGCGUAGGUAACCUGCCUGGUAGCGGGGGAUAACUAUUGGAAACGAUAGCUAAUACCGCAUGACAACAGUUAUUGCAUGAUAACUGUUUAAAAGGGGCAACUGCUCCACUACCAGAUGGACCUGCGUUGUAUUAGCUAGUUGGUGAGGUAACGGCUCACCAAGGCGACGAUACAUAGCCGACCUGAGAGGGUGAUCGGCCACACUGGGACUGAGACACGGCCCAGACUCCUACGGGAGGCAGCAGUAGGGGAUCUUCGGCAAUGGACGGAAGUCUGACCGAGCAACGCCGCGUGAGUGAAGAAGGUUUUCGGAUCGUAAAGCUCUGUUGUAAGAGAAGAACGAGUGUGAGAGUGGAAAGUUCACACUGUGACGGUAUCUUACCAGAAAGGGACGGCUAACUACGUG